GUGGGGAAUCUUGCGCAAUGGGCGAAAGCCUGACGCAGCCAUGCCGCGUGAAUGAUGAAGGUCUUAGGAUUGUAAAAUUCUUUCACCGGGGACGAUAAUGACGGUACCAGAGGAAUAAGCCCCGGCUAACUCCGUGCCAGCAGCCGCGGUAAGACGGAGGGGGCAAGCGCUGUUCGGAAUUAUUGGGCGUAAAGGGCUCGUAGGCGGAUCUGUAAGUCUGGCGUGAAAUCUCCACCGCUUAACGGGGAGCUGCCGCUGGAUACUGCAGAUCUGGAGUUCGGUAGAGGAUCGUGGAAUUUCGGGUGUAGCGGUGGAAUGCGUAGAUAUCCGAAAGAACACCAGUGGCGAAGGCGACGAUCUGGGCCUGCACUGACGCUGAGGAGCGAAAGCUAGGGGAGCAAACGGGAUUAGAUACCCUUGUAGUCC
This 426-nucleotide ribosomal RNA is filed under the name uncultured bacterium. RNAcentral's name for it is "partial 16S ribosomal RNA". It matches the Rfam family "Bacterial small subunit ribosomal RNA", at positions 354 to 796 of the family's 1533-position model. The record is from RNAcentral.